AAUGUUAGAGUAGAAUUUUUCUAUUUUCGUAAAAGUUAUUUAUGGACGAUUUACGACUGUCUGAGAAAGAAUAAAGAUAUUAAAUGAAUUAAUGAGAUAGAAGUUAUAAAAUAUCUAGAUAUUUUGUUAUAUAUUAUUAUUUUAUUAAAUCAAGAUAAUAUCUAGAUAUAUUUUUUGAAUAUAUUAUUAUUAAUAUUACUGGUAUUAUUAUUAUAUAUACGUGUAGUCAUUAGGUGAAAACAACACGCUCAAUUUUCUCUCUUCUUUCCAUUCCACGCUCUUUUCUUCUCUCUCUGCAAAAACCGAAAACAGAAGCGCUCCUCCCCCUCUCUCCAAACCUAGCCACCACCAAUCUCCGACCACCACAAGCCCAAACAGAAAAACUAUUACCACCAUUAUUAUCCUCUCUUUUCCCUCUUUCUUGUAGUAUAAUUUAAUUUUAGAUUAGAACAGUUUCAAAAUUUCACAUCUCCACCUUCUGUCUUAUUUUCCGGCCGCCAUGGACUCUCUAUGUGAAAAAUAAACUGAGAAAUCUCUUCCUCUCAAUAAUAUCUAUAAAACUGACAAAUAAAAUUCAUGAUCAGACCACAUUGGACAACCGCGCCGGGAAUAUCACAACCGUGCCGGAAAUUUCAGAAAGGGUCCAUUAAUCCUCCCUCCUUCCUGCUAUCAUGUUUGUUGUCUGUAUUCUUGGACCGAUAUUAGACUGCUUCUACCCUAAAUAACUUAUCCCUUUCUGUUUGCCCUGAUCACCAUCUCCGGCCAGUAACUGCGUCGUCGCCGCCGCUGUUAAUGGUUGAAAGUGUGAACUGGAUAGGGACCUCGUCGAGAAAGACAUACCGUUCUCACGUAGCGUAAGUUGAAUGUGUUGGAAGCUUGCUAAGGUAAGGGCACUUUCUAACGAUAUUAUAUAUGAUUGAAUGCAUAUGUGUUGGUAUGAAUGAUUGUGUGCCCGGUUGGGGAUGUGUGUUUCUGCUGUGAUGCUAAACUUGAGAAUGUGUUUCAUAUGAUUUGUUGAAAAUAUAUGAAUUGACUGUGGUUAUGAUUACAUAUGUGAAGAUUAUGUAAGUUCAUAUGAUUUUUCGAAUAUAUGAAUUGACUAUCGAGAAAAUGUUAUGAUGCAUUUGCAUUAUGUGCUCAUGCAUAUCAUAGUUGCGUGUAUGUCGAGAGGACUGCACCGGGUGAGGACUCUAGUAGAUUGAGCCCACCUAAUCCUGCGGGAUUUUAUUGAGUUGGUUUCUGUUGAGAUCACUUCUAGUGAGGCAGUACCUUAGUGUCUGUUGAGAUCACUUUUAGUGAGGCAGAACCUUUUAGUGGAAAGAGGCCACGACUCUCUGCGGAGAGGUAAAAUUCCGGAAUUCAUGCAUGUGAGGAACCCGGUUAGGGGGAUCACACCCAUGUAGAGUCUGCAUUAGGAUAUUUGUACAUCACUUCAUGUAUUGAAAUAACUAUGGUGACUGUUGUAUAUCAUGUAUUACUUGCAUGUGUGUAUUCUUUCAUGUAUGCUAUUUUUAGUUCGUGACCCUCUACUAUUAUUCUGUUGUGGCUAACGACCACCCAGGCUGUUAGCAAUUGGGGAUAGUUAAGGUAUCCUGGUGUCGUGAAGACUUGCAAGAUGUGAAUGUCUUUGGAUAGGAGUUCAAGAUCAGCUUAGGGUUUUGUUUCAGAGUGUUUUCUGUAUUUGUUUGGGAAGUUUGUUGUUAAAGCGGAAUGCUUAAUUUGUGUGUGUGGUUUUGACCUUUACUUGUUGUCAAAUACUCUGUACGCAAUUAUAUUCAAGUGGUCAAAUAUUUUAUGACCUUGGGCAUUGCGCUGUACCUAUUCAUGGAAAAGACUUAGACCGAAAAGCUCGUACUCUGAUUUAUCAUUUUUAUUAUUCCUAAAAGGACAGUGGUCCAUAUUUUGUAAGGCAUUAAUUUCAAAAAAAAAAAUACACUCGCGCUGUUAAAAAUCGGGGUGUUACAUUGUGGUAUCAGAGCUUUGGUCUAGAUUUUCAUGGGGCUCUGUGAGUCGGGUAUCCUAAGCUGAUCAAGUGUCCAAUUUAGUGGGAUAAAAUGUUUGGAGUCCUAUAUGUUAUGUGUUAUGUGCUUUAUGUCUUGAGUUAAGCAUGAAAUAUGCUUAGGUAAUCGAUUGUUUCUUGACUGAAGUUAAUGUACCCUAUAGUACUUCAGUAAGGAGGAUAAUUAUAACCCUAGAGCAUCAGUCGACUUUGGUCGAUAUGUGUCUAUGAAUUCUUUGGAUGUGUUGGUUUAGAAGGGACAAAAUUGAACCGAGUAAGAACUACAAGGUAUUUCUUUAGUAACUAUAUGGAUUAGAAGUUAUGUUUUUCUCUUCACUCAGAGAUGCUGAGUGGAGACAAGUGGAAGUUAAACUUACAAAUGAUUACGAUUAAGAACCUUAUUUGGGGGGACCUUUUGAGAAAAAUUAUUGGAUGUUCAUUCUGGAGAGAUCCGAAUGAGAUGAGAUUAAGCUUAUUAACUAUUAAUAAGGUGAUGUCUCUUUGGAAUUGAAGAGCAGCCAUGGAUGUCAAUUGGAAAUAAUUACAAUACUUGGAUAGUAAUGAAGUGUCUUCUCUAGGAAGUAAGCGGAUAUCGCACGUUAUGAUUAAGCGAACCUAGUUAAGUUAGAAGAAGAUUAUGCAAUUGGCAGGUACUUGAAGGGCUAAAGUUUGGUGUUUAAAGCUAUGUUAGAAUUGUAAAUAAAUGUAUUAAGGAUGAAUCAUGUGAUGAUUGAUGGUAGGAUACCUAGUAAUACAUAGAUAAGUGACAAGCUAUGCGUAGUUCGGAAUCAAAUGAGUAUAAAGGUUGAUAUGAGAUGAAGGUACAAGUAGCACUUUGAAUUUAAGUGAUCAUAAGAGUUUAAAUGGGUAAGGGUUAAAUUAUUCAAAUCAUGGUCGACAAUGUUUGGAGAUUUACUAGGAAUUUCGAGGAAUACUUUUUAGAGCGUUAGAUCGCGAGAAAUAUGUUGGUUGGUACCUUAGUAAAGGUUAGAAAUGAAUAAGGAAUAAAUGAUUGAAUAGAUGUUCCAGAAUGAUUAGCAAGAGCUUAUGUGAAAAAUAUUAGUUCGUGUUAUAAAAGAAUAUUACGACAUUUAGAUAGUCACGAAAAUUAAUGAUGUUGUUUGAAGUCAACAAGAUAAAGGUCAUGAUAUGUUGAAGAAAUAACUGUAGGUGGUAGGUUGCUGAAAUUUUGAAGUUGUAAAUUUCUAGAUGAUCGAAGAAGAUCAAGUAUAAGGUUUUUUUUUGGAGUGGUGAUAUCGGAAAGGUAGUCAGUCACAAAGGAAGAUUGAUGUGGUGUACAAGCAAGUAAGAGAGAAGGUAACUCAUAUUUUAUAAGAGAGGUUGGAAAUCUUGUUGUUUAAUUGGUUAAAGUUAAAAGGAGUUGAGAGAAGGACUACAAUGAUAUACUUAAAUAGAAAAUGUGAAGGAGACUGAGCAUUACAUCAAGGGUGUAUGUUAUAGAUGAUGAGGUCGCGUUCGGACUUAAAGAAAAGAUUUAAGAAGUGGUAUAAAUGGAAGGAGACUAAUCUCGCAGUUGAUAAUCUUAUAUCACAAGAAUAAUAAGUAAUGUAUUGGUGACUAGAUGGAAUUUUACAAUCGGAGUUAGGAUGGUGAAAUUUGUAAGUAAAAAGCAUGUUGGAGAAUUCCACAUGAAACUUUAGAAGUUAUGACGAGGUUAGUUACGAUAUGUCAUUAAUGGACAAUUGAACAACAAAAUAUGAGAUGUUAGAACAAUUGAGAAUGGUUAGGGUGACGAGCUCUUUUGAGGAAAAUAGAAUUUAAUGGUAAGAUAAAAUAAACUCAAGUGAGUUUGGAAGAAGGUAUAGGAUAACACGAAAGACAUAGUGUGCCAACAGAGGCCGUCAACAACAAGAAAUAUUUCAUGUCAAGGUACACAAGGGUAAGAUAUGUGAUCAUUUGAGAAUAAGGUAGUUUUAAUAGAGUGUUAUGCAAUUGUUUAAGACUGGUGUAAAAAGAAAUUGUGUCUUAGGAAAGAAAAUUUUGGAAGUUUUAGUCACCGGCCGGAUGUUGGGAUGAUAUUAUUAAGAUCAGUGGCGGAGCCAGGAAUUUUAUGCAGCCUGGGCAAAAACUUUACACCAUUGAUUAUUUAUCUGAUUUAAUUUUCACGUCAUAUUUUUACUAAUUUUGCCCCUGAUUAAUAUUAUAAUUUGGAAUGAGAUUUGAAUGUGAACAUAUACGAAUCGCUGCAAUUAUGAGAUUAAAGGAAUAGCUAAAGAUUUAUGGAUGUAAGUGAAGUUGUGAAGUCCUCCACGGUGAUGGAGGCUUCAUUUGGAGUGAAACAGGUUGGAUUGUACUUGGUGUAUUAGAGCUUACUUCUUUGAAGGAUACUCAAUAGUUGUUCCAUGGUAAUUGAGCGUAAAGAAGGAUGUAACUUGUUUGGGAUAUUGUGUCUCACUGGCAAGAUCACAGUAGCAAGAAAUUAAGGAAGCGUUUAGUAAACAUCGAUCGGAUUAUUGGACCCUUAUGCCUUAUAUGACUUUGAGCACAAGUUGCAAAGAGUGCUAUUGUAGUUAGGCAAGAAUGGUUUGUGUCACCAUCAUGGUUCCCACCUACAUAUUGACAAAUUGAGGAACUGAUCACCCUUAAUCUCUUGUUGAUAGUAGAUGGAAUCAUGUUGAAUGGAAUAGACGAGUCUUGCCAGCUUUAGUAGUGUAUAAAGUUAAUUAAGCAUUCUAUCAGGAGGAUAGUUGAUCACCACUUCACAUAAACCUAGUGGAGUGGGUUGAGACGUGGAGGUGGAAAUGUGACUAUGAGAGUUUAAGCAUUUACCUAGAAUCCUAGAGGACUUGUCGUUUAUGAAUGUGUUCUUUUAAGAUUAGUUUUGAGUGUUGAACUCAUACAUAGUGUGAUGUUUGACCUUGCGUAUAGAGUCCGAGUCAGUGCAACUUUGUAGAGGGUUGCAAUAGGUACACGGACGUGCUAGUGAUGAUGUUAAUAAUAACUAGUUGAGUUGUUACUCUUGCCUCAAGUUUCGAGGACGAAACUUCUUUUAGGAGGGUAGUAAUGUAAGACCCAUAAAAAAGUACACUAGCAGUAAUUAGAAUUUUUAAAUAUUAAAUAGUAUUAUGCUAUUUUAUUUUAUCGAUUUUCUAUUUAAUUGUCCAUUCUGACAAGUUUUGUUGAAUUGUGUUGUGUCUAAAUCACACUUUUAAAAUUGGCACAAAGAUUAUAUUAAGUUUAAAUGUUUCUAUUGUGUCGGAAAAGUUUCGUUUGAUUCUUAAGAAAACGAGUAAAAUUAUCCGUCGUUUAAAUUUUCACUGACUCUGAUUGUUGUGAAAAUUUAAAUAGGAGUUUUAUAUAUUGUCGAGAGAAUGAGAUUUUAAUCUCAACACUUUUUUUAAGCUAAGAAACAAAAAUUUAUUUAGAAUAAUAAUAUAUAUCAAAGUCAUGUUUGUUACAGUUAAAAUGUUAGAGUAGAAUUUUUCUAUUUUCGUAAAAGUUAUUUAUGGACGAUUUACGACUGUCUGAGAAAGAAUAAAGAUAUUAAAUGAAUUAAUGAGAUAGAAGUUAUAAAAUAUCUAGAUAUUUUGUUAUAUAUUAUUAUUUUAUUAAAUCAAGAUAAUAUCUAGAUAUAUUUUUUGAAUAUAUUAUUAUUAAUAUUACUGGUAUUAUUAUUAUAUAUACGUGUAGUCAUUAGGUGAAAACAACACGCUCAAUUUUCUCUCUUCUUUCCAUUCCACGCUCUUUUCUUCUCUCUCUGCAAAAACCGAAAACAGAAGCGCUCCUCCCCCUCUCUCCAAACCUAGCCACCACCAAUCUCCGACCACCACAAGCCCAAACAGAAAAACUAUUACCACCAUUAUUAUCCUCUCUUUUCCCUCUUUCUUGUAGUAUAAUUUAAUUUUAGAUUAGAACAGUUUCAAAAUUUCACAUCUCCACCUUCUGUCUUAUUUUCCGGCCGCCAUGGACUCUCUAUGUGAAAAAUAAACUGAGAAAUCUCUUCCUCUCAAUAAUAUCUAUAAAACUGACCAAUAAAAUUCAUGAUCAGACCACAUCGGACAACCGCGCCGAAAAUAUCACAACCGUGCCGGAAAUUUCAGAAAGGGUCCAUUAAUCCUCCCUCCUUCCUGCUAUCAUGUUUGUUGUCUGUAUUCUUGGACCGAUAUUAGACUGCUUCUACCCUAAAUAACUCUUAUCCCUUUCUGUUUGCCCUGAUCACCAUCUCCGGCCAGUAACUGCAUCGUCGCCGCCGCUGUUAAGGGUUGAAAGUGUGAACUGGAUAGGGACCUCGUCGAGAGAGACAUACCGUUCUCACGUAGCGUAAGUUGAAUGUGUUGGAAGCUUGCUAAGGUAAGGGUACUUUCUAACGAUAUUAUAUGUGAUUGAAUGCAUAUGUGUUGGUAUGAAUGAUGGUGUGCCCAGUUGGGGUUUUGUGAUAAUUGUGUAUCUGACUGAGAAUGUUUAAAUGAUGUGUGCCCAUAUAUGAAUAUGUGUUUAUGCUGUGAUGCUAAACUUGAGAAUGUGUUUUCAUAUGAUUUGUUGAAAAUAUAUGAAUUGACUUGUGGUUAUGAUUACAUGUGUGAAGAUUAUGUAAGUUCAUAUGAGUUGUUGAAUAUAUGAAUUGACUAUUGAGAAAUAUUAUGAUGCAUUUGCAUAUAUGUGCUCAUGCAUAUCAUAGUUGCGUGUAUGUCGAGAGGACUGCACCGGGUGAGGACUCUAGUAGAUUGAGCCCACCUAAUCCUGCGGGAUUUUAUUGAGUUGGUUUCUGUUGAGAUCACUUCUAGUGAGGCAGUACCUUAGUGUCUGUUGAGAUCACUUUUAGUAUUGUGUCUGUUGAAAUAAAUAUUGUGACUGUUGUAUAUCAUGUAUUACUUGCAUGUGUGUAUUCUUUCAUGUAUGCUAUUUUUAGAUCGUGACCCUCUACUAUUAUUCUGUUGUGGCUAACGACCACCCAGGCUGUUAGCAAUUGGGGAUAGUUAAGGUAUCCUGGUGUCGUGAAGACUUGCAAGAUGUGAAUGUCUUUGGAUAGGAGUUCAAGAUCAGCUUAGGGUUUUGUUUCAGAGUGUUUUCUGUGUUUGUUUGGGAAGUUUGUUGUUAAAGCGGAAUGCUUAAUUUAUGUGUGUGGUUUUGACCUUUACUUGUUGUCAAAUACUCUGUACGCAAUUAUAUUCAAGUGGUCAAAUAUUUUAUGACCUUGGGCAUUGCGCUGUACCUAUUUAUGGAAAAGACUUAGACCGAAAAGCUCGUACUCUGAUUUAUCAUUUUUAUUAUUCCUAAAAGGACAGUGGUCCAUAUUUUGUAAGGCAUUAAUUUUAAAAAAAAAAUACACUCGCGCUGUUAAAAAUCGGGGUGUUACAAGGUGAAUCCUGAUCGGCCACCAAUUUCACCUCGUUUCUAUGUUCUGAUCAAUGGAAAAACACUUCAUUCCGUGGUAGUUUUAAUCGUUUUAGUCUUGUUCUUUCUAGGUUUGCGUAAUUUCAUUUUUAUAUUGAUGUGUUAUCUUUUCUAGUUUAUGUUGGUUUUUCUAUUGCUUUUGAUCUUGUAUUGGUAGUGUUUAAGUGUUGCAGGAACAGGGCAAGAUUCGAGUCAAGGAAAAGUGGUUUUUGGCGAGACAGAGCUGUGACAUGGUCACCCGUGUCCUGUGACACGGCCGUGUCACACUUGCUGAAGGGAAAUAUUGCAAAAUCUUGGAACCAUGAAGUCAGAAGUCUGAUACGGCCACCCAUGUCCCAUGACACGGCCGUGUCAGACGUGUGCGCAGAAAAAAUUGUGUUUUAAAUCUUUGGACUUUGUCAUUUAAGGAGGGGCAUAAUGGACUUUUCAGAAGAGAAUAUUUGCUGAGAGUUAUUUAGUCACCAUUUGGAAAGGAAAAAAGCACUUUUUGGAUAGUCGGCAAACGUGAAAAGAAGAUUGAGAGCACUAGGGCUUGAAGCGAAGAACUCUUCAAGAGCAUCAGCAAUUGAAGAUCAAUUCCGAGUCAACCAAUUGUAAUGUCUUCAUCUUUAAUCAUUGUUAUGUUAACAAUUGCCAUGAGUAACUAAACUUUUACUUGUUA
Molecule: long non-coding RNA, 8015 nt
Organism: Vicia villosa (hairy vetch)
Lineage: Eukaryota; Viridiplantae; Streptophyta; Magnoliopsida; Fabales; Fabaceae
Exons: 3
Source: RefSeq, a predicted model, not a curated record